This 2923-nucleotide ribosomal RNA is filed under the name Klebsiella pneumoniae. Its description in RNAcentral is "bacterial LSU rRNA". It matches the Rfam family "Bacterial large subunit ribosomal RNA". Lineage: Bacteria; Pseudomonadati; Pseudomonadota; Gammaproteobacteria; Enterobacterales; Enterobacteriaceae. RNAcentral also lists the same sequence under 1 other name. The record is from RNAcentral.
GGGUUGUGAGGUUAAGCGACUAAGCGUACACGGUGGAUGCCCUGGCAGUCAGAGGCGAUGAAGGACGUGCUAAUCUGCGAAAAGCGUCGGUAAGGUGAUAUGAACCGUUAUAACCGGCGAUGUCCGAAUGGGGAAACCCAGUGCAAUUCGUUGCACUAUCGUUAACUGAAUACAUAGGUUAACGAGGCGAACCGGGGGAACUGAAACAUCUAAGUACCCCGAGGAAAAGAAAUCAACCGAGAUUCCCCCAGUAGCGGCGAGCGAACGGGGAGCAGCCCAGAGUCUGAAUCAGCUUGUGUGUUAGUGGAACGGUCUGGAAAGUCCGACGGUACAGGGUGAUAGUCCCGUACACCAAAAUGCACAGGUUGUGAACUCGAAGAGUAGGGCGGGACACGUGGUAUCCUGUCUGAAUAUGGGGGGACCAUCCUCCAAGGCUAAAUACUCCUGACUGACCGAUAGUGAACCAGUACCGUGAGGGAAAGGCGAAAAGAACCCCGGCGAGGGGAGUGAAAAAGAACCUGAAACCGUGUACGUACAAGCAGUGGGAGCACCUUCGGGUGUGACUGCGUACCUUUUGUAUAAUGGGUCAGCGACUUAUAUUCUGUAGCAAGGUUAACCGUAUAGGGGAGCCGCAGGGAAACCGAGUCUUAACUGGGCGUUAAGUUGCAGGGUAUAGACCCGAAACCCGGUGAUCUAGCCAUGGGCAGGUUGAAGGUUGGGUAACACUAACUGGAGGACCGAACCGACUAAUGUUGAAAAAUUAGCGGAUGACUUGUGGCUGGGGGUGAAAGGCCAAUCAAACCGGGAGAUAGCUGGUUCUCCCCGAAAGCUAUUUAGGUAGCGCCUCGUGAACUCAUCUUCGGGGGUAGAGCACUGUUUCGGCUAGGGGGUCAUCCCGACUUACCAACCCGAUGCAAACUACGAAUACCGAAGAAUGUUAUCACGGGAGACACACGGCGGGUGCUAACGUCCGUCGUGAAGAGGGAAACAACCCAGACCGCCAGCUAAGGUCCCAAAGUCAUGGUUAAGUGGGAAACGAUGUGGGAAGGCACAGACAGCCAGGAUGUUGGCUUAGAAGCAGCCAUCAUUUAAAGAAAGCGUAAUAGCUCACUGGUCGAGUCGGCCUGCGCGGAAGAUGUAACGGGGCUAAACCAUGCACCGAAGCUGCGGCAGCGACACUAUGUGUUGUUGGGUAGGGGAGCGUUCUGUAAGCCUGCGAAGGUGUGCUGUGAGGCAUGCUGGAGGUAUCAGAAGUGCGAAUGCUGACAUAAGUAACGAUAAAGCGGGUGAAAAGCCCGCUCGCCGGAAGACCAAGGGUUCCUGUCCAACGUUAAUCGGGGCAGGGUGAGUCGACCCCUAAGGCGAGGCCGAAAGGCGUAGUCGAUGGGAAACAGGUUAAUAUUCCUGUACUUGGUGUUACUGCGAAGGGGGGACGGAGAAGGCUAUGUUAGCCGGGCGACGGUUGUCCCGGUUUAAGCAUGUAGGCUGGUUGUCCAGGCAAAUCCGGAUAAUCAAGGCUGAGGUGUGAUGACGAGGCACUACGGUGCUGAAGUAACAAAUGCCCUGCUUCCAGGAAAAGCCUCUAAGCAUCAGGUAACAUUAAAUCGUACCCCAAACCGACACAGGUGGUCAGGUAGAGAAUACCAAGGCGCUUGAGAGAACUCGGGUGAAGGAACUAGGCAAAAUGGUGCCGUAACUUCGGGAGAAGGCACGCUGGUGUGUAGGUGAAGUCCCUGCGGAUGGAGCUGAGACCAGUCGAAGAUACCAGCUGGCUGCAACUGUUUAUUAAAAACACAGCACUGUGCAAACACGAAAGUGGACGUAUACGGUGUGACGCCUGCCCGGUGCCGGAAGGUUAAUUGAUGGGGUUAUCCGUAAGGAGAAGCUCUUGAUCGAAGCCCCGGUAAACGGCGGCCGUAACUAUAACGGUCCUAAGGUAGCGAAAUUCCUUGUCGGGUAAGUUCCGACCUGCACGAAUGGCGUAAUGAUGGCCAGGCUGUCUCCACCCGAGACUCAGUGAAAUUGAACUCGCUGUGAAGAUGCAGUGUACCCGCGGCAAGACGGAAAGACCCCGUGAACCUUUACUAUAGCUUGACACUGAACAUUGAGCCUUGAUGUGUAGGAUAGGUGGGAGGCUUUGAAGCGUGGACGCCAGUCUGCGUGGAGCCAACCUUGAAAUACCACCCUUUAAUGUUUGAUGUUCUAACGUUGGCCCCUGACCGGGGUUGCGGACAGUGUCUGGUGGGUAGUUUGACUGGGGCGGUCUCCUCCCAAAGCGUAACGGAGGAGCACGAAGGUUAGCUAAUCCUGGUCGGACAUCAGGAGGUUAGUGCAAUGGCAUAAGCUAGCUUGACUGCGAGCGUGACGGCGCGAGCAGGUGCGAAAGCAGGUCAUAGUGAUCCGGUGGUUCUGAAUGGAAGGGCCAUCGCUCAACGGAUAAAAGGUACUCCGGGGAUAACAGGCUGAUACCGCCCAAGAGUUCAUAUCGACGGCGGUGUUUGGCACCUCGAUGUCGGCUCAUCACAUCCUGGGGCUGAAGUAGGUCCCAAGGGUAUGGCUGUUCGCCAUUUAAAGUGGUACGCGAGCUGGGUUUAGAACGUCGUGAGACAGUUCGGUCCCUAUCUGCCGUGGGCGCUGGAGAAUUGAGGGGGGCUGCUCCUAGUACGAGAGGACCGGAGUGGACGCAUCACUGGUGUUCGGGUUGUCAUGCCAAUGGCACUGCCCGGUAGCUAAAUGCGGAAGAGAUAAGUGCUGAAAGCAUCUAAGCACGAAACUUGCCCCGAGAUGAGUUCUCCCUGAGACUUUAAGUCUCCUGAAGGAACGUUAAAGACGAUGACGUUGAUAGGCCGGGUGUGUAAGCGCAGCGAUGCGUUGAGCUAACCGGUACUAAUGAACCGUGAGGCUUAACCUUACAACGCCGAAG